AUUGAACGCUGGCGGCAUGCUUUACACAUGCAAGUCGAACGGUAACAGGGACUUCGGUCUGCUGACGAGUGGCGAACGGGUGAGUAACAUAUCGGAGCGUGCCCAGUAAUGGGGGAUAGCUCGGCGAAAGCCGGAUUAAUACCGCAUACGCCCUGAGGGGGAAAGUGGGGGAUCUUCGGACCUCACGUUAUUGGAGCGGCCGAUAUCAGAUUAGCUAGUUGGUGGGGUAAAGGCCUACCAAGGCGACGAUCUGUAGCUGGUCUGAGAGGAUGAUCAGCCACACUGGAACUGAGACACGGUCCAGACUCCUACGGGAGGCAGCAGUGGGGAAUAUUGCGCAAUGGGCGAAAGCCUGACGCAGCAACGCCGCGUGGGUGAAGAAGGUCUUCGGAUCGUAAAGCCCUGUCAGGAGGGACGAAACAAAUGACGGUACCUCCAAAGGAAGCACUGGCUAACUCCGUGCCAGCAGCCGCGGUAAUGUGACUACUGC
This 490-nucleotide ribosomal RNA is filed under the name uncultured bacterium. Its description in RNAcentral is "bacterial SSU rRNA". It matches the Rfam family "Bacterial small subunit ribosomal RNA", at positions 30 to 535 of the family's 1533-position model. The record is from RNAcentral.